RNAcentral lists this long non-coding RNA (242 nucleotides) under Durio zibethinus. Its description in RNAcentral is "long non-coding RNA (DZIB_LNC000775)". Lineage: Eukaryota; Viridiplantae; Streptophyta; Magnoliopsida; Malvales; Malvaceae. The record is from RNAcentral.
UUUGUUUUAUUAGGAUUAUAUUAAUCAGGAUUAUAAUACUUUUGGGCAGAAGACCAACUAAACCAACUAUUUAUGGGAUGCUUGCAAACAUUAUCAGUUUAUUCUUCAUAUUUCGAUAAGUAACAAACAACAUGAAGUGCUGUUGCUAAAUGUACAUUUACCGUUGGAAUUCGGAGCAACUAAUAAGUUCAUUAUCAAUUACCUUGAAACAGAACAUAAACUGUCUUGCUUUCUUGCUUACU